AUUGAACGCUGGCGGCAGGCCUAACACAUGCAAGUCGAACGGUAACAGGAAACAGCUUGCUGUUUCGCUGACGAGUGGCGGACGGGUGAGUAAUGUCUGGGAAACUGCCUGAUGGAGGGGGAUAACUACUGGAAACGGUAGCUAAUACCGCAUAACGUCGCAAGACCAAAGAGGGGGAGCUUCGGGCCUCUUGCCAUCGGCUGUGCCCAGAUGGGAUUAGCUAGUAGGUGGGGUAACGGCUCACCUAGGCGACGAUCCCUAGCUGGUCUGAGAGGAUGACCAGCCACACUGGAACUGAGACACGGUCCAGACUCCUACGGGAGGCAGCAGUGGGGAAUAUUGCACAAUGGGCGCAAGCCUGAUGCAGCCAUGCCGCGUGUAUGAAGAAGGCCUUCGGGUUGUAAAGUACCUUAAGCGGGGAGGAAGGGAGUAAAGUUAAUACCUUGACUCAUUGACGUUACCCGCAGAAGAAGCACCGGCUAACUCCGUG
This 490-nucleotide ribosomal RNA is filed under the name uncultured bacterium. RNAcentral's name for it is "partial 16S ribosomal RNA". It matches the Rfam family "Bacterial small subunit ribosomal RNA", at positions 30 to 507 of the family's 1533-position model. The record is from RNAcentral.